RNAcentral lists this ribosomal RNA (743 nucleotides) under uncultured bacterium. RNAcentral's name for it is "bacterial SSU rRNA". It matches the Rfam family "Bacterial small subunit ribosomal RNA", at positions 652 to 1395 of the family's 1533-position model. The record is from RNAcentral.
UAGGGGCAGAGGGAAUUUCCGGUGUAGCGGUGAAAUGCGUAGAUAUCGGGAAGAACACCAGUGGCGAAAGCGCUCUGCUGGACCAUUACUGACGCUCAUGGACGAAAGCCAGGGGAGCGAAAGGGAUUAGAUACCCCUGUAGUCCUGGCCGUAAACGAUGAACACUAGAUGUUGGGGGAAUCGACCCCCUCGGUGUCGUAGCUAACGCGUUAAGUGUUCCGCCUGGGGAGUACGCACGCAAGUGUGAAACUCAAAGGAAUUGACGGGGGCCCGCACAAGCGGUGGAGUAUGUGGUUUAAUUCGAUGCAACGCGAAGAACCUUACCAAGGCUUGACAUCCUGCGAAUCUCCGAGAAAUUGGAGAGUGCCUUCGGGAACGCAGUGACAGGUGGUGCAUGGCUGUCGUCAGCUCGUGUCGUGAGAUGUUGGGUUAAGUCCCGCAACGAGCGCAACCCACGUUUUUAGUUGCCAGCAUUCAGUUGGGCACUCUAGAAAGACUGCCGGUGACAAACCGGAGGAAGGUGUGGACGACGUCAAGUCAUCAUGCCCCUUACGCCUUGGGCUACACACGUACUACAAUGCUGCGGACAAAGAGUAGCGAUCUUGCGAAAGUUAGCUAAUCUCGUAAGCCGUGGCUCAGUUCAGAUCGUAGGCUGCAACUCGCCUACGUGAAGGAGGAAUCGCUAGUAAUCGCAGGUCAGCAUACUGCGGUGAAUACGUUCCCGGGCCUUGUACACUCCGCCC